CGGACGGGUGAGUAACGCGUGGGUAACCUGCCUCAUACAGGGGGAUAACAGUUAGAAAUGACUGCCAAAACCGCAUAAGCGCACAAGACCGCAUGGUUUGGUGUGAAAAACUCCGGUGGUAUGAGAUGGACCCGCGUCUGAUUAGCUAGUUGGAGAGGUAGCGGCUCACCAAGGCGACGAUCAGUAGCCGACCUGAGAGGGUGACCGGCCACAUUGGGACUGAGACACGGCCCAAACUCCUACGGAAGGCAGCAG
This 255-nucleotide ribosomal RNA is filed under the name uncultured bacterium. RNAcentral describes it as "partial 16S ribosomal RNA". It matches the Rfam family "Bacterial small subunit ribosomal RNA", at positions 99 to 354 of the family's 1533-position model. The record is from RNAcentral.